UACGGAGGGCGCAAGCGUUGCUCGGAAUUACUGGGCGUAAAGCGCGUGCAGGCGGUCGGGUAAGUCGGUUGUGAAAUCCCCAGGCUCAACCUGGGAACUGCAUCGGAAACUGCUCGGCUAGAGUCCCGGAGAGGGAGGCGGAACUCCCAGUGUAGGGGUGAAAUCCGUAGAUAUUGGGAAGAACACCGGCGGCGAAAGCGGCCUACUGGACGGUGACUGCCGCUGAGACGUGAAAGCGUGGGGAGCAAACAGG
RNAcentral lists this ribosomal RNA (253 nucleotides) under uncultured bacterium. RNAcentral describes it as "partial 16S ribosomal RNA". It matches the Rfam family "Bacterial small subunit ribosomal RNA", at positions 524 to 776 of the family's 1533-position model. The record is from RNAcentral.